GUUUUUAAAUUGUUGAACACACCAACUAUUUCAUAUUACCCCACAGGUAGUCUUCAGUAUAGGAACUGGAGUAUUAGAAGUUAACUUCAUAAGAUGGUUAUUUAGAACAGAACAUUUUGUAAUAUAAGCAAUAUUAAUAUAUUAUGAGAGAAGUUUGGGUUCUUAUGAGCACCCGCAAAGACUGCUUGACACUAAUUCUGUGUUUAGGCAUCUUAAGUGCUAUUUGGUGUUUAACAGAGAUUAUUUCUUAGGCCUGAUUCUUCGCACAUCUGCCUGGUGGAGGUGGAUGAUUUAGAAGCAGAGUACGGUUCCAGUGCCUUGUAGAAAAUCAAUACGUUGUGUACCUUCUGGGAACCACCUCUUUACAGCUACUUGAUGCUUGUUUGUGACUGAGCUAUCUGUAAGUACUGAAAUAAUAAUAAUAAUUACCAGUUUCAAUGGGUAAGGACUUGGGUUCUAGUUCUUUGAACUAACAUGUAAGUUGAAGAUUUUUUACUAAGGUAUUUGACUAUGGUGAUUCAGAUAUACUAAUAAGACAUGAUUUUUUAGAGCCAUCCAAAAUGAGAGACUGUAUUUAGUUCCUCAUAUACAAAAUUUAAUCUUUUGAUACCAACGAGGUGACUUUCUAGAAAUAUGAAACUGUUGUUGGUUUUGUAAACUCAUCUAUCAAAUUCUUCUAUUUUAAAUGCAUUAGGGAUGCACAGUGUUUUGUCUGUUUUUGAUAUCUGAUUAAAUGUUAAAAAGUCAGAUAUUUUAGAUAGUAUAUGUAAACAUUUUAGGAAGAAAAACAUCUUCCUAGUUUAUGACUUAUUUUUGCAUAUUAUAUUAAGCUGAUGAGCUUUCCUCACCUUGGUUUUUAGCAGUGUCUGUUAAGUGGGUGGUAGAAUUUUUUGGGCCAGUUAGUUAAGCAGGUAUUUAUUUGGAGUGGCCUUGGUUCUGUCUCGCUCCUCAGAGUACCAUUAGGAUGUUCCUAACUUGGUAAUUUAGCUGCCUUGGCUCUACCAUGUAAUACCAGGUACCAUGUAUCUCUAGGCUUUAUCUAGUGGUUGAGUAGCGGAAGUAGUGAGAGUAGCAUUAUCUGAUAGGACUUGCUGACUAUUGGAUAUAGUGUGUGAGCAACAGGAAGAAUGAGGGUGGUGUUAACAUAGAUGGUCAAGUGUUAGGUAUCUCUGUAACCAGUAUCUUAACAGUAGACUUUUAAU
Molecule: long non-coding RNA, 1202 nt
Organism: Mustela erminea (ermine)
Lineage: Eukaryota; Metazoa; Chordata; Mammalia; Carnivora; Mustelidae
Exons: 2
Source: RefSeq, a predicted model, not a curated record